AUACGGAGGGUGCAAGCGUUGUUCGGAAUCACUGGGCGUAAAGCGCGUGUAGGCGGUCUGUUAAGUCUGAUGUGAAAGCCCGGGGCUCACCCCCGGAAGUGCAUUGGAAACUGACAGACUGGAGUCCCGGAGAGGAGGGUGGAAUUCCUGGUGUAGCGGUGAAAUGCGUAGAUAUCAGGAGGAACACCGGUGGCGAAGGCGGCCCUCUGGACGGUGACUGACGCUGAGACGACGAAAGCGGUGGGGAGAC
RNAcentral lists this ribosomal RNA (250 nucleotides) under uncultured bacterium. RNAcentral describes it as "partial 16S ribosomal RNA". It matches the Rfam family "Bacterial small subunit ribosomal RNA", at positions 523 to 771 of the family's 1533-position model. The record is from RNAcentral.